ACUCACACAGACGCUUUCCGCGUUACACAUGGCAGCGUAACCACGCCAACUUGAGUGUGGAACUGAUUUCUCCUUACCUCUGUUUUGCGUCUAGCAGCUGCCAAUGACAGGUGCUCGUCCUUUAAGGCAGAUGGCAACAAAAUUGGUAUUUUUGGCAGGUUUUACAAUUUCCUUUGACAUCACACACACACACUGUGUAUACAGACAUAAACGCAAAUGAGCUGUAUGACAGUA
Pelobates cultripes (western spadefoot toad) is the source of this 234-nucleotide non-coding RNA. The record is from the annotation of a GenBank genome assembly. NCBI's taxonomy places the organism in Eukaryota, Metazoa, Chordata, Amphibia, Anura, Pelobatidae.